Molecule: long non-coding RNA, 2642 nt
Filed under: Mus musculus (house mouse)
Lineage: Eukaryota; Metazoa; Chordata; Mammalia; Rodentia; Muridae
Description: long non-coding RNA chr10:64473931-64476573
Source: RNAcentral
AAGGAAAUGAGGACAGAGGAGAACAAAAACAAGAAAAAGAAAGCAUAGGGGAUUAUGGAGGAAGUGAGACUGAAAGAGGAGGGGGAGAGAAUCACCCUGUUUUACCUCAAUUUAUACUUUAUAUAUGUAUAUCUUCCUAGCAGGCUUUCUCUCACAGAGAUCUAUUGCUUAUAUAAUCUAGCUUUUAUAUGUUCUCUUUUGUUAAAUGCUCAUAUAUAAUUUUCUCCCUUAUAUGCCUGAAAAUAUUUUCUGAUUUUUUGCUUCUUCUAUUUUCUGAGAUUUUUUAUCUUUGAAGAAUGGUAUGUGCAUUGAAAAUAUUCUUUAACAGUUCAUAAAGUUAAAUUCUCUAAAUAACUUAACAUUGUCUUACUCAUUGUAGUGCUAAAACUGGAGCUUUAUCUUCAGAAAUUCCAAAUCUAUGAAGAAAGAAUAUCUAAUCCCCAACAUUUAGACACUGCAAACCUCUUUCUUUUAAAUUUGCCAGCCCCUUAUUUUAAAAAAGACAUUUUAGCAAUUAGUGAAUAGCUUAGCUUUUUCCUUUGUUAUCUAUAUGAGACAGGAUAGCACAUUAAAAAGGAAACUCCAUAGGAGGCUCCAGAAUAAAAUUCAUUUUAAGACAAAAGUCAUUUGACAAAGAUAAUAAAUUUAUUUUUUAAAAGCCUAGGCAUUUCCUUUAUUCCAAAUCCCCUACUUAUUAACUCACUGAGUAGUGGAGUUAUAAUGAAGAAAAGUAAAUAUGUUGUGUUUGUAUUAUUUUACUAUUCAAAAUAUCUUUUCCCUUGUCUUACACUAGAAUAUAGAUUACUACCUCCAGGUCUUCUUUGUGUGAGGAAUUAUUUUCUACUCUUGUUAGUUUCACUUUAGCUAGGUUUUUCUUAAAUUUAUACAUUUAACUAAAAAGAACAUUUUUUCCAAUUAGAAUAACAAUGUGAUUGUUGAGCCUAAUUAUUUUUAUGUUUUCUGUAUUUGUAUAUUUGUGUAAAAAGCUCUAUUUUAAAUUGCCAAGAUAUUCUUACACAUGUUUGGCCAUCUAUACCCAUAGAGAUUCAUAAAGCAUUUAAAUUAUCAGUUGUUUUACGUGACUAAACUAGAUAAUUCUUCCAACAAACUAUAAAAUUAAUAGUUAAAAUGGAUUGAUUAAUUUUUGUGUAUAAGUGUUUGCCUGCAUGUGCAUAUAUGUUCAUCAUAUGCAUCCCUGAUGCCUUCAGAGUCUACAGAGAGCAGUGACUUCUUUGUGCUAGAUUUUGUGGCCAUUGUGAGCUGCCCUCUAAAUGCUGAAAGACAGUCCCAGAUUCUCUGCAAGAGCAGCAUGUGCUGAGCCAACUCCUUAAUCACAUAUGUAGCAAAUAUUUUAACGGCUCUCAGAAAUUGGGGCAUUACUUUAUACACAAAGAGAGACCUCGGAACACCUAACUCUGAAUGGGAUGUCCCUAUGGAAUCCCUUCCUUCAGAGCUCAGGAAACCCCAGGGAAGAGAAGGCAGAAGAAGGAUGCAAUCUACAGGGAAUGAAGGAUACUAGGAGAACAAGGCCCUCUCAAUCAGCUGAGCACAGCUCAUAUGAACUCACAGAGACUGAAGCAGCAAGCACAGGGCCUGCACAGAUCUCACCAGGACCUCUGUGCACAUACCAUAGCUUUCAGUUUAGUGUGUGCAUGGGACUCUGAGUAUGUAUAACUCAUACUCUCUGAUGAUUAUGCCUUCUUUGGGGCUCCCCCCCCUUUUUUUAUUAAUUUGCCUCCUCUACCUUCAAUACAAUGGGUUUUGUUUCAUCUUGUUAUAUUUUAUUUUGCUAUGUUUUUGUUGCUCAAAAAGAAGUCGGAAGUAAAAAUAUUAAAACUUGAAAAAAUAACUUUAUUAGGUCAUUGAAGUACAAAGGGUGACAACUUGCCUGAAGCCAUGCAGAACUGAUGAUCAAUGGAGAUAAGCUAAAAUAUAGUAUUUUUCUCAAAAUCCCACUUUCAUUCAUCUUUAUCCAACUUGUUAAUAAUUUUGUCUAUUGCCACACAAUUCAUUUACAUUUUCUUCCUUCCCUUACUGGAUUCAAUAAUACGUGUAAUUUUAAAGUUCCCUUAGUGUCAGGACAUAGCAAAAUUUUUAUGUGUGGAAUGGCAACUAUUUACAUAUUUUAAAGGAUAUUAAUUUUCCUAUUUAUUGCAUUUCCUGUGACUCAGACUGUACUAGGUCAUUUUUUUUCCUUUUAACCAACAUCGAUUAUGAAAUAUAAAAAAUUAUCCUGAUAUAUAAUUUUAUAGAGAGCCAUAUACUUCUUCAGAAAUAAUUCUUGCCGCUUGUCCUAAAAAUAAUUUAACCCCUAAAGUAUUAUAGUUUAGCCCCUUACAUGUACUCAAAGGCAAGGUAAGCCUUGUGAGCAGAUUUAGUGUGAAUAAUCCUAUAAGCAGGAUUACCUGCUCAUGAGAAAGGAGAUUACAAGGUUGAGAGGCCAAAGCAGAAUGAUUUGUCUUUAAGGGUCUAUAGAACUCAAGUCCAGGACACGUUGACAUUCCUCAUCAGCACUGUCUCCUCUACCUGUGCAACUCUUUCAUCAUUUGACACAGAGCUAUGAUGAUAGAUGCCCGUAGUGACAAAUAUAACAUGCCUUAAUUCCAGAUGUUAGGGUAAUUUUCAAAUGCAAAGUACAAUGC